UAGAAGAUUAGCAUGGACCCUGUGCAAGGUAGACACACAAAUUUGUGAAGCAUUCCAUAUUUUU
Molecule: small nuclear RNA, 64 nt
Filed under: Meriones unguiculatus (Mongolian gerbil)
Lineage: Eukaryota; Metazoa; Chordata; Mammalia; Rodentia; Muridae
Source: RNAcentral